RNAcentral lists this transfer RNA (91 nucleotides) under Aquificaceae bacterium. RNAcentral describes it as "tRNA-Ser". It matches the Rfam family "tRNA". Rfam says of the family: Transfer RNA (tRNA) molecules are approximately 80 nucleotides in length. Their secondary structure includes four short double-helical elements and three loops (D, anti-codon, and T loops). Lineage: Bacteria; Pseudomonadati; Aquificota; Aquificia; Aquificales; Aquificaceae. The record is from RNAcentral.
GGAGAGGUGACUGAGUGGCCGAAAGUACCGGUUUUGAAAACCGGCGAGGGUUUGUAGCCCUCCCAGGGUUCGAAUCCCUGCCUCUCCGCCA